This 253-nucleotide ribosomal RNA is filed under the name uncultured bacterium. Its description in RNAcentral is "partial 16S ribosomal RNA". It matches the Rfam family "Bacterial small subunit ribosomal RNA", at positions 524 to 776 of the family's 1533-position model. The record is from RNAcentral.
UACGGGGGGGGCAAGCGUUGUUCGGAAUUACUGGGCGUAAAGGGUUCGUAGGUGGCCAACUAAGUCAGACGUGAAAUCCCUCAGCUUAACUGGGGAACUGCGUCUGAUACUGGUUGGCUUGAGUGCAGGAGAGGAACGCGGAAUCCCAGGUGUAGCGGUGAAAUGCGUAGAUAUUCGGAAGAACACCAGUGGCGAAGGCGGCUCACUGGCCCGGUACUGACGCUGAGGUGCGAAAGCGUGGGGAGCAAACAGG